GCUGGAAUCGCUAGUAAUCGCGGAUCAGAAUGCCGCGGUGAAUACGUUCCCGGGUCUUGUACACACCGCCCGUCACACCAUGGGAGUCGGAAAUGCCCGAAGUCUGUGACCUAACCGUAAGGAAGGAGCAGCCGAAGGCAGGUCGGAUGACUGGGGUGAAGUCGUAACAAGGUAGC
This 176-nucleotide ribosomal RNA is filed under the name uncultured bacterium. RNAcentral describes it as "partial 16S ribosomal RNA". It matches the Rfam family "Bacterial small subunit ribosomal RNA", at positions 1325 to 1500 of the family's 1533-position model. The record is from RNAcentral.